GGGCCCGCACAAGCGGAGGAACAUGUGGUUUAAUUCGAUGAUACGCGAGGAACCUUACCCGGGCUCGAACGGUGUUUGAAUGUUUGUGAAAGCAGGCAGCCAGCAAUGGCAAACAUCGAGGUGCUGCAUGGUUGUCGUCAGCUCGUGCCGUGAGGUGUCGGCUUAAGUGCCAUAACGAGCGCAACCCUUACCGUUAGUUACCAUCAGGUCAAGCUGGGGACUCUAACGGGACUGCCGCCGUAAGGUGAGAGGAAGGUGGGGAUGACGUCAAAUCAGCACGGCCCUUACGUCCGGGGCUACACACGUGUUACAAUGGGUGGGACAGAAGGCUGCUACCUGGCAACAGGAUGCUAAUCCUUUAAAACCCACUCCCAGUUCGGAUCGAAGUCUGCAACCCGACUUCGUGAAGCUGGAUUCGCUAGUAAUCGCGCAUCAGCCAUGGCGCGGUGAAUACG
RNAcentral lists this ribosomal RNA (455 nucleotides) under uncultured Bacteroidales bacterium. RNAcentral's name for it is "bacterial SSU rRNA". It matches the Rfam family "Bacterial small subunit ribosomal RNA", at positions 917 to 1370 of the family's 1533-position model. Lineage: Bacteria; Pseudomonadati; Bacteroidota; Bacteroidia; Bacteroidales. The record is from RNAcentral.